RNAcentral lists this non-coding RNA (45 nucleotides) under Trichobilharzia regenti. The record is from RNAcentral. Lineage: Eukaryota; Metazoa; Platyhelminthes; Trematoda; Strigeidida; Schistosomatidae.
AUCUAGAUGAUGCGUUCCAAAUAGGACAAAAUGUACAUCCUGGAU